AAUCAAAUUUGAGCAGGAGGUAAGCAAUUGAGGCAUUCCAUCGAACAUGUUGAGAGCAUAUGUCAACUCAAAAAGGUGUGAGCAUGCUACCAGUGUGGCCGGCAUAUCAUAAAUCACAAACUACAGACAUGAAGUAAUUGUAGAUAAACAUCGAAGACUGACAAGUGCACAACACAAGGGAAUGUUAUUAUUGACAUACAUGUGAAUAUCAUGCAGAGGCUACUUGCAAUUUGUACAGCAAAAGGUUGACCUCAUAGCCUUUAUCCUAUUUUCUUCAGAAGUGCUCCCCCAGAUGUUGCAGAUCCUAUCAGAAAUGCUGGCAUAACCUUUUUCACAAACACCUGACAAAUAGGUUAACGCAGAGAUGAAGACAGAUCACAGGCAAUUUAUACAACAAAAGAUUGACAUGAGUCUUCGUUCUAUUUUUCUACAACAGUGCUCGUGGAAAAGUGCUGCCAUAACUUGUCUUUUCAGGCUUAACUGAGGCACUUGUCAACGGAGGUGGAAUCUUAUUAUAAGAGGUUUGGUUUCAGGUUUAUGAUUUUUUUUAAAUAAAAGGGUUAUGUAAAAUGACAUCAAGAAUAUAGCAAAGACAUUACCUUACUGUUCCACCUUGUUUUGAGUAUGAGCACUCUCAGAUCUUACCAAAGGUGAAAUAAAGCUUAUGGCUGACAUCAUGUGAGUGAGAGCUAGUUUAGAAAUUUUAGGCGGGUUCAGUAGUGCAAAACUAACAUAGCAAGGGGCACCGUACUUCUCAACAGUCCCAAGGCAUAUCCUAGACGAGCAUAGUAUAUAAGGAAUUAAGGAUUAACCAUGAGCAGCCGAGCUUCCUGGGUAAUUAACCAUGAGCAGCCGAGCUUCCUGGAAACACCCUGUAGUGGCAUACAGAGAUUUAAAAGUGAUCAGAUGGCAUUUCGAUUUUUUGCAAGCUUUGGGAAUUACAGAUUCAUUGCUUAAUAAUUAGAUCUAAUACAGAAUGCAAUGAUUUACAUUACCUUGGUUGUACGAUUUCCAUGUUCUUAAUAUCUUGUGACAGUUGACAUUCAGAGAAUCAACACUGUAAAAUAAAAAUGAAAAAUGGUUUAAGUAGUCAUGAAGGAAGUAAAGCUAUGGACAUACUAUUAUGUAAAAUGUUUUACAGCAAUAAACUCAUUAUAUAUGCUCUCGAACUAUCUACCAAGUUUCAGAUCAGUAUUGUCCGGGUGCUUUAAUUUUAGGUUGCAACCUCAAAACCUACUAUCUUAUUGAUUCAUCUGUUCUAUGUCGUAGCAUUUAAAUUUCACAUAGCCAUUUCUUCAUGGAUACAUGCAGAAAGUUUGUUCUUGAUGCCUGUUUGAGCACACAUCUGUAGCCCAAAACAUUAGAAGAGCAGUAUUUGCAGUUCAGAAACUAAGAGAGCUAUUUGAUUUCUCUAAUAGUUGUUAUGAAAUUUUAAGCCCAUAUUCUACAUGAGAUUAAGACAACAUUAUUAUAUGGUUGCUUUGUAUCCGGCGAGACUAAGGAUAAGUAUAAUUAAUUAUGUUUAUUAACAGCAAGUCGCCGACUUGUACAGGCAUAUGCUUUUCCUAAUUAGAGAGACAUGCUUCCUUCAGCUGGGUCGCCAUGGAACCCAGUUGAAUGUUACCAUUUGACACGAAUUUGAGCAAUAAUUGUUUCAACAAACUGAGUACCACAAAAGAAGCACAAUUCCUUGAGAAAUAAUUAAUAAAAAUGGUAAUUUAUACAGCACAGAAGAAUAGUUCUAGUCAUUUCUCAGUGAGUAAUGCUAGUAAUCGCUGUUUUGGUUAUGUCCAGCUGCUGGUAGGAAAUUGGUGGAUAUUGAAUUCAAAUGAAUAUAUAUUGUGGAUAGACUAAUACCUGUGCGGGGGCAUAAUCAUGUACAAUAUUACAGGCUCUUGCUUCCGUUCUUGUUAUUAGGCAUUUCUACAAACAACUUGUGUGCAGUAGAGACAGCUCGUCAGAGGGAGCAGCGGCCAUAUGCACGGACAGAAGGGAGAGCUGCAGAGGCUGCUACGGCCGUCGGCGGUGAGAGCGCGUCUGUGGUUGAGACGCUGCGCGGCCGCGUUGCCGCUGGCCCCGCCCGCCCCGUGCUCCAGGCGCUGUGGCCGCCAAGCGGGCCCGCCGCCUCCGGUGGCGGGGUACAUUUUCGGUGCUCGACCGAGGGUGGAUCUGCCAUAGCCCCCUCCGCACGCUUCGUUCCUGCGCGCGCCUUCUCGCCAUGAGUGUGGCGCUGUAAGGGAAGGAAGGUGAGAGGCACUGGGAGCAGGAGGAGAGGAGCAGCUGCCUCACCAUCGAGGCGGAGCAGGAGGGGGAUGGCUGGUGGCCUCACUGCCCCGUGCGGCAGAGGGGAGUGUGACGCGCAGUGAACGAAGUUCGUGGCCGUCGUGGCAGGCUGACGGCGGCCGCGCUGCAGCCUGCAGGCGGAAGGGAGGCGCGGAAGCAGUGGUCGGCGCCUCGGGCGGGCGGCGGGGCAGGCGGAGAGGCGUGGGAAGGAGCAGGUUCGCGAGCGCCCGGUUCGCCG
Molecule: long non-coding RNA, 2521 nt
Filed under: Setaria viridis
Lineage: Eukaryota; Viridiplantae; Streptophyta; Magnoliopsida; Poales; Poaceae
Description: long non-coding RNA (SVIR_LNC008331)
Source: RNAcentral